GAGGGGGGACCAGCCACACUGGGGACUGAGACACGGCCCAGACUCCUACGGGAGGCAGCAGUGGGGAAUUUUGGACAAUGGGGGGAAACCCUGAUCCAGCCAUGCCGCGUGCGGGAAGAAGGCCUUCGGUUGUAACCGCUUUUGUCAGGGAAGAAAAGGACGCAGUCUAAUACAUUGCGGCCAUGACGGUACCUGAAGAAUAAGCACCGGCUAACUACGUGCCAGCAGCCGCGGUAAUACGUAGGGUGCGAGCGUUAAUCGGAAUUACUGGGCGUAAAGCGUGCGUAGGCGGUUAUGCAAGACAGAUGUGAAAUCCCCGAGCUCAACUUGGGAACGGCAUUUGUGACUGCAUGGCUUGAGUGCGGCAGAGGGGGGAUGGAAUUCCGCGUGUAGCAGUGAAAUGCGUAGAUAUGCGGAGGAACACCGAUGGCGAAGGCAAUCCCCUGGGCCUGCACUGACGCUCAUGCACGAAAGCGUGGGGGAGCAAACAGGAUUAGAUACCCU
This 504-nucleotide ribosomal RNA is filed under the name uncultured bacterium. Its description in RNAcentral is "bacterial SSU rRNA". It matches the Rfam family "Bacterial small subunit ribosomal RNA", at positions 294 to 788 of the family's 1533-position model. The record is from RNAcentral.